UCUCCUCAUUCUCCUAUCCUUCUCUCUCUAGAAGGCUUCUCCAAUGAGGGAUUAAAGGGAUUUGAAGCUUGGAAAUUGGGGAUUUUUGUGAAGAGCUAGUCCAAGAGCAAGAGGAAGUUGUUGAAGCAAGAACCUAAGCCCCAAUUGGAGAAUAAAUCGACGCGUUGGGAGACUCGGAUCGAGAUUCUGACAAGUUUACAUUGAGUUAUUGAGGAAAAACCUCGUUUCGACUUCGUUUGUCGUGGGGCGAGAGGAGUGAUUGUUCAUAAAUCGUGGGAAGUGGUUUUCUCGCAUUCCGGCAUCACUUGAAGAUCCUAGUGCGAGCGGAGCGAUCGAGGAUCGGAGCAAGGGUAUUGCGCCCUAGAUAGCGGGCCUCUGUUGAGUAUAGCAUGCACCCGGUUUAUGUUUAUUUUGGUAGCUUGAUGAAAAGUAUCAUGUAAAUUAACUAUAUGACAUAGACAUGAUGUAUGUAUUUGGAGAACUAUGGUGUAAUUUUUGG
Ananas comosus (pineapple) is the source of this 499-nucleotide long non-coding RNA. RefSeq lists it as uncharacterized. The record is from RefSeq and is a predicted model, not a curated record. The transcript is spliced from 3 exons. Lineage: Eukaryota; Viridiplantae; Streptophyta; Magnoliopsida; Poales; Bromeliaceae.